GACGAACGCUGGCGGCGUGCUUAACACAUGCAAGUCGAACGGGACGGCCCCUUUGGGGGUACUCGAGUGGCGAACGGGGGAGUAACACGUGAGUAACCUGCCCUUGACUUCGGGAAAACUUCAGGAAACUGGGGCUAAUACCGGAUAGGAAUCCUUGCUGCAUGGUGGGGGUUGGAAAGCUUCGGCGGUUUUGGGUGGGGUCGCGGCUUAUCAGCUUGUUGGUGGGGUAGUGGCUUACCAAGGCUUUGACGAGUAGCCGGCCUGAGAGGGCGACCGGCCACAGUCAGACUGGGACACAGACCAGACUCCGACGGGAGGCAGAGGUAGCGAUUAUGGCACUAUGAGAAUAAGCGAGAGCCAGCUCCGCCGCUGGCGGGAGGAUGACGAACGGGUUGUAGUCCGCUUGCAGCAGGGGCGGGGAUGGUGGUGACGGUACCGGCAGAAGAAGCACCGGCUAACUACGUG
This 465-nucleotide ribosomal RNA is filed under the name uncultured bacterium. Its description in RNAcentral is "partial 16S ribosomal RNA". It matches the Rfam family "Bacterial small subunit ribosomal RNA", at positions 28 to 507 of the family's 1533-position model. The record is from RNAcentral.